Molecule: ribosomal RNA, 253 nt
Filed under: uncultured bacterium
Lineage: Bacteria
Description: partial 16S ribosomal RNA
Rfam family: Bacterial small subunit ribosomal RNA
Source: RNAcentral
UACGUAUGGUGCAAGCGUUAUCCGGAUUUACUGGGUGUAAAGGGAGCGCAGGCGGCGCGGCAAGUCCGAUGUGAAAACCCCCGGCUCAACCGGGGGACUGCAUUGGAAACUACCGGGCUGGAGUGCCGGAGAGGUAGGCGGAAUUCCUGGUGUAGCGGUGAAAUGCGUAGAUAUCAGGAGGAACCCCAGUGGCGAAGGCGGCCUACUGGACGGUGACUGACGCUGAGGCUCGAAAGCGUGGGGAGCAAACAGG